Molecule: ribosomal RNA, 292 nt
Filed under: uncultured bacterium
Lineage: Bacteria
Description: partial 16S ribosomal RNA
Source: RNAcentral
GGACUACUGGGGUAUCUAAUCCUGUUUGCUCCCCACGCUUUCGUGCAUGAGCGUCAGUGUUGGCCCAGGAGGCUGCCUUCGCCAUCGGUGUUCCUCCACAUCUCUACGCAUUUCACCGCUACACGUGGAAUUCCACCUCCCUCUGCCACACUCCAGCUCCAUAGUUUCGGACGCAAUUCCCAGGUUAAGCCCGGGGAUUUCACGCCCGACAUGCGGAGCCGCCUGCGCACCCUUUACGCCCAGUAAUUCCGAUUAACGCUCGCACCCUACGUAUUACCGCGGCUGCUGGCAC